RNAcentral lists this long non-coding RNA (397 nucleotides) under Sorghum bicolor (sorghum). RNAcentral's name for it is "long non-coding RNA (SBIC_LNC004251)". Lineage: Eukaryota; Viridiplantae; Streptophyta; Magnoliopsida; Poales; Poaceae. The record is from RNAcentral.
UCCCCGGUCACCAAUCACCAUAGGAUGUAAUCUGAUACUCUCACAAAUAUGAAUCCAUUUUAUAUUUGUCACACGUUAAACUUUUUCUUUAAUUCAUAAAUAUCUAAAAUACUAUAUAGAAUAGUAACACAAAGAUCGGUGUUACUAGAUUCAUUAUAAAAUUACUACAUAUUCAACAUAGAUCUUAGAGCUGGUAUUAUGCCAAACAAUGCCCUUAGUAUUACUUUUAUCCCCCACAACGUAUGUGUGUGCCCUCGGUGGAUCAAUUGUCAAAUUUAAGAUCAGCUUUGUUAAAAUUAGUAAUCAAAUUCUAUUGUUUAGCUAUAAUUUCUAAAAAUAAUAAAAAAAUCCUCAGAAAAAAAGGUCCAGAACAGCCUUGCUAUUUUACUAAGUCAUA